RNAcentral lists this ribosomal RNA (664 nucleotides) under uncultured bacterium. RNAcentral describes it as "bacterial SSU rRNA". It matches the Rfam family "Bacterial small subunit ribosomal RNA", at positions 9 to 685 of the family's 1533-position model. The record is from RNAcentral.
GAGUUUGAUCCUGGCUCAGGAUGAACGCUGGCGGCGUGCCUAAUACAUGCAAGUCGAGCGAACCACUUCGGUGGGAAGCGGCGAACGGGUGAGUAACACGUAGGUGAUCUACCCAUCAGACGGGGACAACGGUUGGAAACGAUCGCUAAUACCGGAUAGGACGAAAGUUUAAAGAUGCUCCUGGCAUCACUGAUGGAUGAGCCUGCGGCGCAUUAGCUAGUUGGUGGGGUAAAGGCCUACCAAGGCGACGAUGCGUAGCCGACCUGAGAGGGUGAACGGCCACACUGGGACUGAGACACGGCCCAGACUCCUACGGGAGGCAGCAGUAGGGAAUCUUCGGCAAUGGGCGAAAGCCUGACCGAGCAACGCCGCGUGAAUGAAGAAGGCCUUCGGGUUGUAAAAUUCUGUUAUAAGGGAAGAAAGGUGAUAGGAGGAAAUGACUAUCAAUUGACGGUACCUUAUGAGAAAGCCACGGCUAACUACGUGCCAGCAGCCGCGGUAAUACGUAGGGGGCAAGCGUUAUCCGGAUUUACUGGGUGUAAAGGGAGCGUAGACGGCAGCACAAGUCUGGAGUGAAAUCCCGGGGCUUAACCCCGGAACUGCUUUGGAAACUGUGCGGCUGGAGUGCAGGAGGGGUAAGCGGAAUUCCUAGUGUAGCGGUGAA